Molecule: ribosomal RNA, 1016 nt
Filed under: Wittrockiella lyallii
Lineage: Eukaryota; Viridiplantae; Chlorophyta; Ulvophyceae; Cladophorales; Pithophoraceae
Description: SSU rRNA
Rfam family: Eukaryotic small subunit ribosomal RNA
Source: RNAcentral
AGGUAUAACCGAUUAUACCGGAAAACUGCGAAUGGCUCGGUAAAUCAGUUAUAGUUUAUUUGAUAGUGCAAACUACUCGGAUAACCGUAGUAACACUAGAGCUAAUACGUGCGUAAAUCCCGACUCUUGGAAGGGACGUAUUUAUUAGAUAAAAGGCUAACCGGGUUUUCCCGACCAGCGAUGAAUCAUGGUAACUUCACGGAUUGCAUGGCCUUUGUGCCGGCGACGUGUCAUUCAAGUUUCUGCCCCAUCAUGGUUUCGACUGUAAUGUAUUGGAUUACAGUGCCGAUAACGGGUAGCGGAGGAUUAGGGUUCGAUUCCGGAGAGGGCGCNUGAGAAAUGGCGACCNCAUCCAAGGAAGGCAGCAGGCGCGCAAAUUACCCAAUCCCAACUCAGGGAGGUAGUGACAAGAAAUAACAAUGCGGAGCCACAGGUUCUGCAAUUGGAAUGAGAACAAUUUAAACCACUUAACGAGUACCUAUUGGAGGGCAAGUCUGGUGCCAGCAGGCGCGGUAAUUCCAGCUCCAAUAGCGUAUAUGUAAGUUGUUGCGAUUAAAAAGCCCGUAGCUGAACCUCGGGCAGCCCUGACGGUCCGCCAAUCGGUGUGUACUGUCGUGGGCUGCCUUUCUGCUGGGGACCGUAUCCUUGCAUUCACUUGCCGGGAACGGGACCUAGCAAGGUUACUUUGAGUAAAAUAGAGUGUUCAAAGCAAGCUAUCGCUCUGAAUACACUAGCAUGGGAUAACACGACAUGACCGAUGGUCUAUCUUGUUGGCCUGUAGACCCGUUGGUAAUGGCUAAUAGGGACGGUCGGGGGCAUUCGUAUUUCGCUGUCAGAGGKGAAAUUCUUGGAUUUGCGAAAGACGAACUACUGCGAAAGCAUUUGUCAAGGACGCUUUCAUUAGUCAAGGACGAAAGUCGGGGGAUCGAAGACGAUUAGAUACCGUCGUAGUCUCGACCAUAAACGAUGCCAAUUAGGGAUCGGAGGGUGGUUUUCUUAUGCCUCCUCCGGCACCU